GUGUUUGGCAGCACAUACACUAAAAUUCAAACAACACAGAGACACAGAGAUGAGCAUGGCCCCUGUGUAUGGAUGACACACAUACUGGUGAAGUAGUCCACAUUUAU
RNAcentral lists this small nuclear RNA (107 nucleotides) under Castor canadensis (American beaver). Lineage: Eukaryota; Metazoa; Chordata; Mammalia; Rodentia; Castoridae. The record is from RNAcentral.